CGGUUCCAGUCCGUACAACCCCA
RNAcentral lists this non-coding RNA (23 nucleotides) under Arabidopsis thaliana (thale cress). The record is from RNAcentral. Lineage: Eukaryota; Viridiplantae; Streptophyta; Magnoliopsida; Brassicales; Brassicaceae.